Non-coding RNA from Haemonchus placei, 75 nucleotides. Lineage: Eukaryota; Metazoa; Nematoda; Chromadorea; Rhabditida; Trichostrongylidae. The record is from Rfam.
GGCCCAAAUUUGAAAUAGAAUGGAUUAGAAGGAUCAUCUGACCCUACUAAACUACACUACUUCGAGUUUGUGCCC